CCCAGGAGAGUCACGGGCUCGUGU
RNAcentral lists this non-coding RNA (24 nucleotides) under Cricetulus griseus (Chinese hamster). Lineage: Eukaryota; Metazoa; Chordata; Mammalia; Rodentia; Cricetidae. The record is from RNAcentral.